This 393-nucleotide ribosomal RNA is filed under the name uncultured bacterium. RNAcentral's name for it is "partial 16S ribosomal RNA". It matches the Rfam family "Bacterial small subunit ribosomal RNA", at positions 523 to 918 of the family's 1533-position model. The record is from RNAcentral.
AUACGGAGGAUGCGAGCGUUAUCCGGAUUUAUUGGGUUUAAAGGGAGCGUAGGUGGGAUAUUAAGUCAGCUGUGAAAGUUUGGGGCUCAACCUUAAAAUUGCAGUUGAUACUGGUUUCCUUGAGUACGGUACAGGUGGGCGGAAUUCGUGGUGUAGCGGUGAAAUGCUUAGAUAUCACGAAGAACUCCGAUCGCGAAGGCAGCUCACCGGGCCGGAACUGACACUGAUGCUCGAAAGUGCGGGUAUCAAACAGGAUUAGAUACCCUGGUAGUCCGCACAGUAAACGAUGAAUACUCGCUGUUUGCGAUACACGGUAAGCGGCCAAGCGAAAGCGUUAAGUAUUCCACCUGGGGAGUACGCCGGCAACGGUGAAACUCAGAUGAAUUGACGGGG